AAACGGUUACCAAAUAGAGCCUAAAUUAAAAAACAAAUUUAUUUAUUUUAAAAAAAUUAUUAUUAUUAUUAUUAUAUAUAUAUUUUGAUAACAACUACAUAUUUUGUUCCAAAAAGCUAAAAAAAAAAAAAAUUUCGCGCCGCUUGAGUCCUCGCGCGCGCUGAGUUUAUUGGAAAGAGACACGUCAUCUCCUUUUGGGAAUUGGUAUUUCUGCCCCUUUUUUUCUAUCUUGACCGAUAGAACCCAACAUUAUUCUCUCUCCAUCUCUUCAUCUUGACAGAAAACAAAUCCUCGUUUCCUCUCAAUGACUACUUCCACAAUCGAAUCGACAAUUCUCAAUAUGUAUCGCCUCUCAAUCUCUAAAAUCAUGGACUAACGAUCGAAGAGGAUUCAAUACCGAAUCUCUGGCUCAACCUAGCUAGCUUCACUCACAAUCACUUUAACGGGCAGACGUUUGAGCUCACUACCGUCAUCAUCUACAGCUCACAAUCGAUUUUUGAGUAUUAGUUCUGCUGCUCCCGGCAGACACGAAUUUCUAAAACAAAUUCUCCAUAAAAGAGCCAUAAUCCUCUGUCUCUGAUUCGAAGCAAAGUGUGAUACUUCAUUAAGAGGCAUAUAACUUCGUUGAGAGGAUUGGAGUAACAUAUCAGCUACUUUCUUGGAUUUUGUACUGUGGAUUUUGUAGCUACUUCCUUGGAUUUUGUACAGUGAGGUGAUUUUUUGACAAGUGCAGACGGGAACUCUAGUGUUAGAAGGUUUAUCAAUUUUUCAACAGAAGUGUUAAGAAAUUGAUGAUUUUCUUGAUAAAUGGAUUUACUUCUUGUUUUGAAACAUUGAUAAAUGUUAAAUUGUUUUGGCACAUUGAUAAAUGAUGAAUUGUAAAAAUGUUUUAACUCUUUUGAUAUAUUUAAUGGGAUAUGUAUGUUUUUUGAAUUGAAUUAUAGCUGAAAAUGAUGUGAAUUCUGUAAGGGUGCUUUAUUUAUAUAAAAAAAUAUAUAUAUAUUUUUUACGGGGAGCUUGAAAUACCGUAAAUAAGUGAAAAUCCUCCUUAAAUAACUUUUUUACGGCAUGCAUGAUAAGUUGUGAGAAUGGUUUAUAUUAUUUACGGGUACUUAAAAUUCGCCGUAGAAAAGUUUUCUACGGCAUGCUCCAACGCCUUGUGAGAUUAUUUACGGGUAGUUAAAAUUUGCCUUAGAAAACUUUUCUACGAUGUGCUUCUGUACUUCGUGAAACUAUUUACGGUAGUUACAACUCCUUAUAGAAAUUUUUUUUACGGCAUGCGUCGAUACCUCGUGAGAUUAUUUAUGAGUAUUUACAAUUCGUUGUAGAAAACUUUUCUACAGCAGGCGUUGGUACCUCGUGAGAUUAUUUACGGUACUUACAAUUCGCUGUAGAAAACUUUUCUACGGCAUACGUCAGUCCCUCGUGAGUUAAUUAUUAAUUGUAAAUAAAUUUAAUAUAUAUAAACAAAAUUAUUUUCUACGGCGAAUCUAUUAUUUUUCUACGAGAUAGAUUUUUUCUCGUAAAAAAAAUUGAAUAUUUACGGAACCAUCAUACACAAGGGCCUAGAAUGCGCCGUGAAUGAGUUUCUACGGCGUUUUUGGCCCCUCGUAGAAGCCCUUUUUUCUUGUAAUGAUUUAUCUAUUUGCACUAAAUGUCUUCCACACUUCAAGCUUGUUUUUGGAGAGAUUAAGGAAAGAUUUUGAUGAAGCCAUAGGUGAGGGAGUGAUGAGCUUGAGGAGAGCUUUUAUUUGAAACCAUUAUUGCAAGGAGCUAGGGAUCUCGAAUUUGGGGAUUUCUCUUCAAAGAGGGCAUGACCGUGACGUAGUUGAAGACUAGUUUCCCAAAUAUAGUUAUGAAUGGCAGACUACAAUGCACCGCAGUCUUAGCCUAGAGUAGAAGAACGUCGCUUUUCGCUAUCUUUUGUACUUGGGCUUAAUUUUGUAAAAAUGUUGAUUUAAUAUGUAUUAUUUUUGCAACAUGUAAAAUGAUUGGAUCCAUUUUGUAUAUGGCCCUUGGAGUAAUGUAAUUAAAUUUUAUUUACACUAAAUCCUUUAGUGGGUUUUAAGUAACGUGUUA
Long non-coding RNA from Cornus florida, 2079 nucleotides. RefSeq lists it as uncharacterized. Lineage: Eukaryota; Viridiplantae; Streptophyta; Magnoliopsida; Cornales; Cornaceae. The record is from RefSeq and is a predicted model, not a curated record. The transcript has 5 exons.